AUAAAGUUUCUUCCCUGUUUACCAAUGGGGAGCAGGCACUUGCUUUGCUUUAGGAAAUAACGUUUCUUUUGAACCUUUAUUCAUUGGAAACUGAUACUAAAGAAAAACAGAAAACCUUUCCUUAUGCUUUUGGAAAAUAAUUAAUGGUCCUCAAAGACCGUUAAAGCGAACAAAAAAUUUGUAUAAUCUCUAUAUUUUUAAUGUAUAGUCACUUCAGAUCUGAGGGAUAUAAAUACCUGAAGAAAGAAAAUCCUCUGAGCCAUUUUAUUUUUUUACAUUUAAAAUGAUUUCUUGAGUUCACGUCAAUAUUAACUUUAUGAACUCCUCAUAUUCUGAUGUAUUUGUUGAAGAGGAAACCCCGCACCCUCCCUUCCCCUCCGGGAGAGACUUGCUUUCUGAUUUGCCCUCACAUCUGCAUUUACCGGAGGAACAGAUGCUCCGCUUCCAAGGGUCGCAGACCACUUACUCUAGACCUCACGACUAGUUCUGAAGAGUAUGGAGCCUACAUAGAUUCAUAAGUUGCUCUUUGCUCACUUGAUGAAAAUGUUUUGCUUUUUUUAAAUUGGCAAAGUGGAAAAUUGAAGAGCCGUUGAGAAAAAUAAACCCAAUUCUUCAUGUGAACAAUUGUCUCACGCUGAUGUCUUGAAACCAGAAAGCUUUCUGCUAUUUAUUUACCAGAGAUGAGUACAGAUCAUUUCAUUGUGCAUCGAUUUUCUCUAAGGAGGGAGGAAGUGUGGUCAGCUAAACAAGACACUGAAAUGGGGAAUCAGCAGCCACAACUCCUAUUGUCAUCUCCAGCUGCAGAAUUUGCUCAGACUCUUAGAAACUCACUUGAUUGCUAUGAUCCUGGUUUUUUGGUUUGUUUCUUUUUUUGUUUCCUUUGGUUGUUUUGUUUUUUUAAUCAACAAGAUCGAACUUAUAGAUUAAAUUCUUUGAGUUCUUUUGUUGGGUUAUUUUAAUUGGUCUGGUCUAUACACAAUAUAUUGAUAAAAUGAGAGCCAAUACAAUUGGACACCAUUCAGGAAUAGAAUCAUUCCACAUUCAUGUAGCCAAAUGUUUACUGGGAGCCUACUGUCUACUGGGCACUGAGCUGGGCAUUGCAUAGUGUAUUUGCUCCUUACAUCACGAGACAAUUAUGAAACUGACAUUAUGUGCAAAUAUAAACUUCCCAGAAGAUCAAUACUAUAUGAAUUAAGAAUAAUUAUCCAAAAAAAGAUCACUACACUUUAAAUACAAAGAACUCCUUUAUUUUUGAAAAACACUUGUUAAACACAUAAAAAAUUUCAAAUUCCUUAACCUGUUUUUAUUCUGUUUUCAAAUUACUGUUUUUAAAUUUGUGAAAUAUGUCCAUUGUACACAUUUGGAAACUUGGUAUACUUAUUUGUGUAUUUACAUAUGUAUAUGCUUAUGCUGGAAACACAUAUAUCUGUGCCUUUCAAAUUAUAAAUUAGAACUCACAGUAACACUGUUUCAAAUUAAAAUUAUUUCACCCUCAUUAGGAGGGAACCUGCUAUUUUUUUCUAUUAUCAAGUUUUUUUAUGCCAGUUCUGUCUUCUUGGUUACAGUGAAAGAUUAAAAAUAAAUAGAUAAAUAAAAUGUCCUUUUCAAAUUGUUAGUUUUAUAUUCAUGCUGUUUUUUUCGUUUAUCAUUGAAAAUGUUUUUAGGAUUGGAUGUUUAACAAGAAAUUCUGUGACUUGUGCUAGAUUUUAUUUAUAUUUUGCUCUUUACACCUAUAUUAGAUAUGAAUCUAGUUAAGCUAUUAUAACAGAGAAACUCCAAAACACAGAAGCUCAUACGAGAUAAAAGUUUAUUCUGUCUCACAUAACAGUUUAGACUGGCAGGACUGUUGGUGUAUGGCAGCUGUACAGUGUCAGGGGCCCAGGCUCCCUCUGUCUAAUUGCUCUGCUAUCCUCAACUCUGUCUUUCAUCUCCUGACCCAAUGUGGCUGCUGCAGCUCCAGCCAUUAUGUUUGCCUGCAGCCAGCAGGAAAAGAGAAAGGGGUAAAGGAAUGCAUACUCCUUUCUUUUGAAAGCAUAAACUGAGAUUUUCACAUAUAACUUCUGAAAUGAUCCAUGGCAGAUGUUCAGGCACACCCACACUGGAAGACAUGAUGAGGUCAUGCGAUGCCUGCACAUAUACACAGGUUCUCUGAACAUAACAGCGAACAGCAAAAGUGCAACCUCAGACCAGGACACUGUGUUAUGCUGAGGCAGCAGUAUCGUGGGUGAUUUUCUGAAAUGGUAUACAACUCAGGGA
Molecule: long non-coding RNA, 2256 nt
Organism: Equus asinus (donkey)
Lineage: Eukaryota; Metazoa; Chordata; Mammalia; Perissodactyla; Equidae
Source: Ensembl